Molecule: long non-coding RNA, 899 nt
Organism: Hemicordylus capensis (graceful crag lizard)
Lineage: Eukaryota; Metazoa; Chordata; Lepidosauria; Squamata; Cordylidae
Exons: 4
Source: RefSeq, a predicted model, not a curated record
CUGCAGGGCAGUGUCAACAGGAAAGAAAGGGAGUGGCCCACACUCAGUUAGUAGAAGUACAUGCUUAUACAGAAGGCCUCUGACAGCUUCAGAAAGAGUUAUGUCACUCAUUCUCCAAUCAAGCUGGCAUUUAAAAUAAGAAACACAGACAAAGCCUUCUACAUGUAAGAACAACUGGCACAUAUUUGUUUGUGUGUGGCCGUGGAGUCUGAUGCGAGGAUAAAAUUGGAUAAACACACAUCUCCCUCCCUGGACAGGAUACAACUGUGAUAAAGAAAGGAUCUAAACUAGGAGGAUUUGACACAGAUGGCUAAACCCCAAAACUCUCCAGCUGCCCUUGAAUGUCGGGGACUGACUUAAAUGAAUAAGUAGAGCGGGUUCCUUGCACCUCUUCAAAAGCUACUCCUGAGGGUCAGAGAGCCCUCCACCAUGAUGUGAGACGUGGCACUGGGAAUGUGGGCUGUGGCAGCUGGCUGGGGGAAUCAGCAGAAACCAGGGACUCCUUUUGCACAUGCAAAAGUACCUUCUGUCCAAACAGCUGUUGCCUCCCUUGAUUCGGCCCAGUUCCCCUAGCAGCACGUGUCAAGCUAUGAAAACUGUAAAUUGACCUUAGCUGCUUAUAAUAACGUAGCUUAAAUUUUCAUGAGUUAUAGAGGCUGCAAGAUUAGAAACAAGAUCCAAUUCAAGUCUUAUGAGAACUUCACUCAGAAAGUAGCUCCUUCAAGUAACUCACUGCCACCUAACAUUUUGGAAGGCUGUCUAUAUACAACAUCCAAAUGUCAACAUCAAGUCAUACAUACAUCACUGACUGCAUCGGUGACUGCACGGUGAUGGAAGUGGUCUGGCCGGUCUGGGAUUGAUCUCCAGAUUCCUAAUUGACUCAUGUACUUUUCUUUAUA